RNAcentral lists this long non-coding RNA (363 nucleotides) under Helianthus annuus (common sunflower). RNAcentral describes it as "sRNA HanXRQr2_Chr15g0705861". Lineage: Eukaryota; Viridiplantae; Streptophyta; Magnoliopsida; Asterales; Asteraceae. The record is from RNAcentral.
UGGAAAUGAAAAAGACAGGGAAAGCAAUCUGAGGUGCAAAAAAUUAAAAAAAACACACGAGACAAGAGCUCGCAUUAUAACACACCAUGAUAUCGUGCGCUCAUCCAUCACCCUACUUCAUUCUAAUAUGGCAGCUUCUUUUGCUUUUGGGCCGAUACACGUCAGUCUAGCCUGUUCUUCACAUACACCUUCAUUGAAAGCAUCACCAACAGCCUGAAAAAGUAAAUGCUUAAAAAUUCUCUUUUGCAAGGGUAAUGUUGUCUUCUUGUAUCCUCCUAAAAAUCUUCUUUAUGAACACUUGACAGUAAUCUAAUCUCAAUGACCUGUCCACUUCUCUAUGUUAAUGUAUUUUUUUUGCCAAGU